UAUGACGUACUUGUACUGAUUGAGAUUUUAACACGAAGUGAGUGGCGAACGGGUGAGUAACACGUGGGUAACCUGCCCAGAAGUAGGGGAUAACACCUGGAAACAGAUGCUAAUACCGUAUAACAGAGAAAACCGCAUGGUUUUCUUUUAAAAGAUGGCUCUGCUAUCACUUCUGGAUGGACCCGCGGCGUAUUAGCUAGUUGGUGAGGUAAAGGCUCACCAAGGCAGUGAUACGUAGCCGACCUGAGAGGGUAAUCGGCCACAUUGGGACUGAGACACGGCCCAGACUCCUACGGGAGGCAGCAGUAGGGAAUCUUCCACAAUGGACGCAAGUCUGAUGGAGCAACGCCGCGUGAGUGAAGAAGGGUUUCGGCUCGUAAAGCUCUGUUGUUAAAGAAGAACGUGGGUAAGAGUAACUGUUUACCCAGUGACGGUAUUUAACCAGAAAGCCACGGCUAACUACGUGCCAGCAGCCGCGGUAAUACGUAGGUGGCAAGCGUUAUCCGGAUUUAUUGGGCGUAAAGCGAGCGCAGGCGGUCUUUUAAGUCUAAUGUGAAAGCCUUCGGCUCAACCGAAGAAGUGCAUUGGAAACUGGGAGACUUGAGUGCAGAAGAGGACAGUGGAACUCCAUGUGUAGCGGUGAAAUGCGUAGAUAUAUGGAAGAACACCAGUGGCGAAGGCGGCUGUCUGGUCUGCAACUGACGCUGAGGCUCGAAAGCAUGGGUAGCGAACAGGAUUAGAUACCCUGGUAGUCCAUGCCGUAAACGAUGAUUACUAAGUGUUGGAGGGUUUCCGCCCUUCAGUGCUGCAGCUAACGCAUUAAGUAAUCCGCCUGGGGAGUACGACCGCAAGGUUGAAACUCAAAAGAAUUGACGGGGGCCCGCACAAGCGGUGGAGCAUGUGGUUUAAUUCGAAGCUACGCGAAGAACCUUACCAGGUCUUGACAUCUUCUGACAGUCUAAGAGAUUAGAGGUUCCCUUCGGGGACAGAAUGACAGGUGGUGCAUGGUUGUCGUCAGCUCGUGUCGUGAGAUGUUGGGUUAAGUCCCGCAACGAGCGCAACCCUUAUUACUAGUUGCCAGCAUUAAGUUGGGCACUCUAGUGAGACUGCCGGUGACAAACCGGAGGAAGGUGGGGACGACGUCAAAUCAUCAUGCCCCUUAUGACCUGGGCUACACACGUGCUACAAUGGAUGGUACAACGAGUCGCGAGACCGCGAGGUUAAGCUAAUCUCUUAAAACCAUUCUCAGUUCGGACUGUAGGCUGCAACUCGCCUACACGAAGUCGGAAUCGCUAGUAAUCGCGGAUCAGCAUGCCGCGGUGAAUACGUUCCCGGGCCUUGUACACACCGCCCGUCACACCAUGAGAGUUUGUAACACCCAAAGCCGGUGGGGUAACCUUUUAGGAGCUAGCCGUCUAAGG
Molecule: ribosomal RNA, 1421 nt
Filed under: Pediococcus pentosaceus
Lineage: Bacteria; Bacillati; Bacillota; Bacilli; Lactobacillales; Lactobacillaceae
Description: bacterial SSU rRNA
Rfam family: Bacterial small subunit ribosomal RNA
Source: RNAcentral